Molecule: long non-coding RNA, 1526 nt
Organism: Callorhinus ursinus (northern fur seal)
Lineage: Eukaryota; Metazoa; Chordata; Mammalia; Carnivora; Otariidae
Source: RefSeq, a predicted model, not a curated record
GCCCAUGUCACUCUGCAGCCCGCAGAGACUCACUGCCCCAUCAGUGGGGGCAGGGUGAGCAGACAGGCCACCCACACCACACACGUCUGCCCCAGACCCGAGGGCUGAAGGUUAUGAACAGCAAGUCGUAUAGAACAAGAGGUUGAAUCUUUCGCUAUAGAACGACAUGUCAAGCAUCUGGUGUUGCAGAUCUCCUAGGACAGAAAUGAACGUCUGAGAAGUGCCCGGAGGAACCCAGAGCAGCUUCAGGAUCGAUGCAUGACUGGAAAGACAACGAGGUGCAAUACAUCGAUCCGGGGGAACGAGUGUUUGAAACACCACUGGAACCGUCUAGGGCGACAGCAAUUCCUUUUCUCCUUCUGUUUCACCUCAUUUAGAGACAUGUAACAAGCCCUGAGAAAGCCCCGGGGAGCGUUUCUUCUAACCAGAAGCUGGUCCAGCCUCUCCCCUGACUCCUCCAUGCCUUGAAAGCCUGGGGAGGAGAAGCUCACCUCGCGGAGCCAUGACAAAGAAAGGACUGUGACCCUUCUCUUCCCCCUGCUGCAGAAAGCUCCAACGCUGGAAGCCGAAGCAGGCCGGAGAGGAAGGACACGGAGGGGUCUGGGUGGCAUCCAUCCAGGGUGAGGGCCACGGGGGAGCAGAGAACCAGAGACUCUUGCAAAGAUACAGGAACUCCCAUUUCUCUCAAACCAAGGCAUGGAAACGAGGGCUUCGGUUUUUACAAGCCUUCCAGGCUGAGCUUUCUGGCUGCCCACAACUAAGAAUAAACAGACAGCUGGUAGUUCCAAUUGUCAGUGAGGUGGCCGUUUGACAUGGGAAACCACCAUGUGACAAUUCACUGAAGGGUGUUUAAAAAAACCCAAGUAAUUCUCCUCGGCAAAGUCUCCACUUUCGUUUCUACUGCAUAACUUUUAGGACAGUACUUCUCAGAAAUAUAAGUAAAUGGCAUAAUUCUUCGUAAAAGGCAACGUUCUCUUUUCCUUCUUUAAAUACAGGACAGGGCACUGCACUGAGGCUGAGGCAGAGUUUGGGGGCUGGAACUAACCAAACCGGGGUGGGCGCCCGACUCAGCCACAGGCCACGUGAACGGAGGGCAUGAGUUAGGUCUGUGAAAGGCCGCUCCUGCUCUCCUCCUCACGGGCCCAUUCCGCCGCCCCCCGCAUUCUGCACUGUGCCCGAGACGUCACGUGAAGAAUGGAUACCAUCACAGAACAGCGACCGCGGGCAAAGCUACUGCCACCCUGAACUCACGUUCAAGUUAGCCAUCCGGAACCUUCCCCUGGCUACCAGCGGGGCAAAAUCUGAAUAACCAAGUCACAGAAAGAACACCACAGUAACAACUCAAGCAGUCAGGGGCGGCCGGGGACUGGUGGCUGAGGGUGGGGACAGACUACAACGGGUGAGGGAACUCACUUGGGUGAAGGAUGGAAUGUUCUAAAAUUGGACUGGGGUGAUGGGGGUGUAACUGUAAACGCACGGAUGCUAUCAAACUGUAUGCUUAGGAGGAGUAAAUCUUAUGGUGCGUA